GAAGCGGCAACAGCUCAAAUUUGAAAUCUGACCCUUGGGGUCCGAGUUGUAAUUUGCAGAGGGUGUUUCGGGCACGGUGCCGGUUUAAGUCCUUUGGAACAGGGCGUCAUAGAGGGUGAGAACCCCGUAUGUGACCGGUCGCCAAACCCAUGUGAAACCCCUUCGACGAGUCGAGUUGUUUGGGAAUGCAGCUCAAAAUGGGUGGUAAAUUUCAUCUAAAGCUAAAUAUUGGCCAGAGACCGAUAGCGCACAAGUAGAGUGAUCGAAAGAUGAAAAGCACUUUGGAAAGAGAGUCAAACAGCACGUGAAAUUGUUGAAAGGGAAGCGCUUGCGACCAGACCUGCUCGCGGGUGAUCAGCGGUGCUUUUCGCGCCGUGCACUCAUCCGCGAUCAGGCCAGCAUCGGUUCAGGCGGCCGGAUAAAGACUCGGAGAAUGUAGCUCCCUCCGGGGAGUGUUAUAGCUCCUUGUGCAAUACGGCCAGCCGGGACCGAGGACCGCGCUUCGGCUAGGAUGCUGGCGUAAUGGUCGUAAGCGACCCGUCUUGAAACACGGACCAAGGAGUCUAACAUCUGUGCGAGUGUUUGGGCGUCAAACCCAUGCGCGCAAUGAAAGUGAACGUGAGGUGGGAACCCUUUCGGGGGCGCACCAUCGACCGAUCCAGAUGUCUUCGGAUGGAUUUGAGUAAGAGCACAGCUGUUGGGACCCGAAAGAUGGUGAACUAUGCCUGAAUAGGGUGAAGCCAGAGGAAACUCUGGUGGAGGCUCGCAGCGGUUCUGACGUGCAAAUCGAUCGUCAAAUUUGGGUAUAGGGGCGAAAGACUAAUCGA
This 827-nucleotide ribosomal RNA is filed under the name Psora decipiens. Its description in RNAcentral is "LSU rRNA". It matches the Rfam family "Eukaryotic large subunit ribosomal RNA", at positions 95 to 938 of the family's 3401-position model. Lineage: Eukaryota; Fungi; Ascomycota; Lecanoromycetes; Lecanorales; Psoraceae. The record is from RNAcentral.